CGAGUACUCCGGGGUCGGUGCAAUUCCGAACCGGCGGUGAGAGUCCGCGACCCGUCCGCCAGACGCGGACGGCUGAUCCGGUGGGAAUCCGGAACCGACGGUGAGAGUCCGGAUGGGAGGAGUGCGGA
Molecule: non-coding RNA, 128 nt
Filed under: Actinomyces sp.
Lineage: Bacteria; Bacillati; Actinomycetota; Actinomycetes; Actinomycetales; Actinomycetaceae
Also listed under: 1 other name
Description: FMN sequence
Rfam family: FMN riboswitch aptamer (RFN element)
About the family: The RFN element is a highly conserved domain that is found frequently in the 5'-untranslated regions of prokaryotic mRNAs that encode for flavin mononucleotide (FMN) biosynthesis and transport proteins. This element is a metabolite-dependent riboswitch that directly binds FMN in the absence of proteins.
Source: RNAcentral